AGUCUGACGGAGCAACGCCGCGUGAGUGAUGAAGGUUUUCGGAUCGUAAAACUCUGUUGUCAGGGAAGAACAAGUGCCGGAGUAACUGCCGGCACCUUGACGGUACCUGACCAGAAAGCCACGGCUAACUACGUGCCAGCAGCCGCGGUAAUACGUAGGUGGCAAGCGUUGUCCGGAAUUAUUGGGCGUAAAGCGCGCGCAGGCGGUUUCUUAAGUCUGAUGUGAAAGCCCCCGGCUCAACCGGGGAGGGUCAUUGGAAACUGGGAAACUUGAGUGCAGAAGAGGAGAGUGGAAUUCCACGUGUAGCGGUGAAAUGCGUAGAGAUGUGGAGGAACACCAGUGGCGAAGGCGACUCUCUGGUCUGUAACUGACGCUGAGGCGCGAAAGCGUGGGGAGCGAACAGGAUUAGAUACCCUGGUAGUCCACGCCGUAAACGAUGAGUGCUAAGUGUUAGAGGGUUUCCGCCCUUUAGUGCUGCAGCUAACGCAUUAAGCACUCCGCCUGGGGAGUACGGUCGCAAGACUGAAACUCAAAGGAAUUGACGGGGGCCCGCACAAGCGGUGGAGCAUGUGGUUUAAUUCGAAGCAACGCGAAGAACCUUACCAGGUCUUGACAUCCUUUGCCACUUCUAGAGAUAGAAGGUUCCCCUUCGGGGGACAAAGUGACAGGUGGUGCAUGGUUGUCGUCAGCUCGUGUCGUGAGAUGUUGGGUUAAGUCCCGCAACGAGCGCAACCCUUGAUCUUAGUUGCCAGCAUUCAGUUGGGCACUCUAAGGUGACUGCCGGUGACAAACCGGAGGAAGGUGGGGAUGACGUCAAAUCAUCAUGCCCCUUAUGACCUGGGCUACACACGUGCUACAAUGGAUGGUACAAAGGGCUGCGAGACCGCGAGGUUUAGCCAAUCCCAUAAAACCAUUCUCAGUUCGGAUUGCAGGCUGCAACUCGCCUGCAUGAAGCUGGAAUCGCUAGUAAUCGCGGAUCAGCAUGCCGCGGUGAAUACGUUCCCGGGCCUUGUACACACCGCCCGUCACACCACGAG
RNAcentral lists this ribosomal RNA (1037 nucleotides) under Bacillus sp. CON39-20. RNAcentral describes it as "bacterial SSU rRNA". It matches the Rfam family "Bacterial small subunit ribosomal RNA", at positions 380 to 1408 of the family's 1533-position model. Lineage: Bacteria; Bacillati; Bacillota; Bacilli; Caryophanales; Bacillaceae. The record is from RNAcentral.